This 497-nucleotide ribosomal RNA is filed under the name uncultured bacterium. RNAcentral describes it as "partial 16S ribosomal RNA". It matches the Rfam family "Bacterial small subunit ribosomal RNA", at positions 28 to 507 of the family's 1533-position model. The record is from RNAcentral.
GAUGAACGCUGGCGGCGUGCCUAACACAUGCAAGUCGAGCGAACGGACGAGAAGCUUGCUCUUCUGAUGUUAGCGGCGGACGGGUGAGUAAGACGUGGAUAACCUACCUAUAAGACUGGGAUAACUUCGGGAAACCGGAGCUAAUACUGGAUAAUAUUUUGAACCGCAUGGUUCAAAAGUGAAAGACGGUCUUGCUGUCACUUAUAGAUGGAUCCGCGCUGCAUUAGCUAGUUGGUAAGGUAACGGCUUACCAAGGCAACGAUGCAUAGCCGACCUGAGAGGGUGAUCGGCCACACUGGAACUGAGACACGGUCCAGACUCCUACGGGAGGCAGCAGUAGGGAAUCUUCCGCAAUGGGCGAAAGCCUGACGGAGCAACGCCGCGUGAGUGAUGAAGGUCUUCGGAUCGUAAAACUCUGUUAUUAGGGAAGAACAGAUGUGUAAGUAACUGUGCACGUCUUGACGGUACCUAAUCAGAAAGCCACGGCUAACUACGUG